UCGGGAAUUUUGGGCAAUGGGCGAAAGCCUGACCCAGCAACGCCGCGUGAAGGAUGAAGUAUUUCGGUAUGUAAACUUCGUAAGAAUAGGAAGAAUAAAUGACGGUACUAUUUGUAAGGUCCGGCUAACUACGUGUCAGCAGCCGCGGUAAUACGUAGGGACCAAGCGUUGUUCGGAUUUACUGGGCGUAAAGGGCGCGUAGGCGGUGUGUCAAGUCAGUUGUGAAAUCUCCGAGCUUAACUCGGAACGGUCAACUGAUACUGUCACACUAGAGUACAGAAGGGGCAAUCGGAAUUCUUGGUGUAGCGGUGAAAUGCGUAGAUAUCGGGAGGAACACCUGUGGCGAAGGCGGCCACCUGGUUGGAUACUGACGCUGAGACGCGAAAGCGUGGGGAGCAAACAGGAUUAGAUACCCGAGUAGUCCCUGAGCGGGCUGGCAAGGCGCAU
Molecule: ribosomal RNA, 447 nt
Filed under: uncultured bacterium
Lineage: Bacteria
Description: bacterial SSU rRNA
Rfam family: Bacterial small subunit ribosomal RNA
Source: RNAcentral